AUGGUGGUGGACGCGCUUGCCGCCAUUCUAGAUAAGGCUAAGGCUGCCGGCCACAUUCAGGGAAUCACUCCCCACCUGGCUGGCGGCUCCGGGAUCUCCCUCCUCCAGUAUGCCGACGACACCAUUAUCAUGGUCACAGGCUCGGAGUCGGAUAUCGCCAACCUUAAGUUCCUCCUCCUCUGCUUCCAACAAAUGUUUGGCCUUAAGAUUAACUUCGACAAGAGUGAUGUGAUGGUGAUGGGCUACUCUCCGACCGAGUCGCUUGCCAUUGCCAACCGGCUUAACUGCCGCCUCGGUGCCUUUCCCACAACCUACCUGGGAACGCCCAUUAGCGACUCUCGGCUUACCGUUGCGGACCUGCGCCCGACCGUGACCAAGCUCCAGACGCGCAUCGAGCCUUGGCAGGGUAGAUGGCUGUCAAAGGCGGCUCAGACCAUUCUCAUUAACUCAUCCCUCUCCAGCCUCCUCCUGUUCCUCAUGAGCUUCUACAGCCUCCACGAGACCCUCCACCAUGAGAUUGCCAAAAUUCAGUCCCGCUUCUACUGGGCCGGCGAUAAUAAUAAA
Molecule: ribosomal RNA, 564 nt
Filed under: Triticum aestivum (bread wheat)
Lineage: Eukaryota; Viridiplantae; Streptophyta; Magnoliopsida; Poales; Poaceae
Description: partial small subunit ribosomal RNA
Source: RNAcentral